ACUGAAGGCUCACAAUUUCAUUAUUCAAAAUGCAGUACACACGCUUUCUUCCCUAAUCCUUUUAUUCAAAACCAAAGACUCAGUCGCCGUUGAACACUAUGAGCGGUUGCUGUCGGAAGUUGUCUUCUCCUCAUUAUCACUAAUCAUCGUGCUCGGAGCUAUUGCGUCGCAGGCUCCAUCGUCGUCGUUAAGCAAGUUUUCAUCCAAGUCGUCGUCGGGCCCGAAAUUGACGACUUUCUCUCGUCGUCAAGCCUCUGUCCGAGUCCAUAUCCUUCUUCUUUCGCCCUCACUUUCCGUCCUUCCUCACUGUUGGAAUUUAAGAUGUUCAGAAAAGUUCGUUACACAAAAAAGUUAAUAUUGGAAACACCAUGUCGGCAGCCUCCAACGGAAGCUCCUGCAUCUUUAUCCUCCACUGAUCAUGACUGGCUCAUUCCCCUGCCCAGUGAUGGUGGUAUCCCUGUAGUUAGGGGUGGAAAAUG
Arachis ipaensis is the source of this 479-nucleotide non-coding RNA. Lineage: Eukaryota; Viridiplantae; Streptophyta; Magnoliopsida; Fabales; Fabaceae. The record is from RefSeq and is a predicted model, not a curated record.